CGUAGGUGGCGAGCGUUAUCCGGAUUUACUGGGCGUAAAGGGUGUGCAGGCGGGCUGUUAAGUGGUGUAUGAAAUCGCCCGGCUCAACCGGGCUAGGUUAUGCCAGACUGGCAGUCUAGAGAGCGAGAGAGGGACGUGGAAUUCCGGGUGUAGUGGUGAAAUGCGUAGAGAUCCGGAGGAACCCCAGAGGCGAAGGCGGCGUCCUGGCUCGCAUCUGACGCUCAGACACGACAGCAUGGGGAGCGAACGGGAUUAGAAACCCCGGUAGUCCAUGCCGUAAACGAUGCCAACUAGGCGCUGGCGGUCUCAACCCCGUCGGUGCCGCAGGAAACCCGAUAAGUUGGCCGCCUGGGGAGUACGGUCGCAAGGCUA
RNAcentral lists this ribosomal RNA (372 nucleotides) under uncultured organism. RNAcentral describes it as "bacterial SSU rRNA". It matches the Rfam family "Bacterial small subunit ribosomal RNA", at positions 526 to 896 of the family's 1533-position model. The record is from RNAcentral.